AGUGAACGCUGGCGGUAGGCCUAACACAUGCAAGUCGAACGGCAGCACAGUAAGAGCUUGCUCUUACGGGUGGCGAGUGGCGGACGGGUGAGGAAUACAUCGGAAUCUACUUUUUCGUGGGGGAUAACGUAGGGAAACUUACGCUAAUACCGCAUACGACCUACGGGUGAAAGCAGGGGAUCUUCGGACCUUGCGCGAUUGGAUGAGCCGAUGUCGGAUUAGCUAGUUGGCGGGGUAAAGGCCCACCAAGGCGACGAUCCGUAGCUGGUCUGAGAGGAUGAUCAGCCACACUGGAACUUAGACACGGUCCAGACUCCUACGGGAGGCAGCAGUGGGGAAUAUUGGACAAUGGGCGCAAGCCUGAUCCAGCCAUACCGCGUGGGUGAAGAAGGCCUUCGGGUUGUAAAGCCCUUUUGUUGGGAAAGAAAAGCAGCAGGUUAAUACCCCGCUGUUCUGACGGUACCCAAAGAAUAAGCACCGGCUAACUUCGUG
This 492-nucleotide ribosomal RNA is filed under the name uncultured bacterium. RNAcentral's name for it is "partial 16S ribosomal RNA". It matches the Rfam family "Bacterial small subunit ribosomal RNA", at positions 29 to 507 of the family's 1533-position model. The record is from RNAcentral.